GAUGAACGCUGGCGGCGUGCCUAAUACAUGCAAGUCGAGCGAACGGACGAGAAGCUUGCCUCUCUGAUGUUAGCGGCGGACGGGUGAGUAACACGUGGAUAACCUACCUAUAAGACUGGGAUAACUUCGGGAAACCGGAGCUAAUACCGGAUGAUAUUUUGAACCGCAUGGUUCAAAAGUGAAAGACGGUCUUGCUGUCACUUAUAGAUGGAUCCGCGCUGCAUUAGCUAGUUGGUAAGGUAACGGCUUACCAAGGCAACGAUGCAUAGCCGACCUGAGAGGGUGAUCGGCCACACGGGAACUGAGACACGGUCCAGACUCCUACGGGAGGCAGCAGUAGGGAAUCUUCCGCAAUGGGCGAAAGCCUGACGGAGCAACGCCGCGGGAGUGAUGAAGGUCUUCGGAUCGUAAAACUCUGUUAUUAGGGAAGAACAUAUGUGUAAGUAACUGUGCACAUCUUGACGGUACCUAAUCAGAAAGCCACGGCUAACUACGU
Molecule: ribosomal RNA, 496 nt
Filed under: uncultured bacterium
Lineage: Bacteria
Description: partial 16S ribosomal RNA
Rfam family: Bacterial small subunit ribosomal RNA
Source: RNAcentral